CGCACAUCAUAUUGCGCAUAACUAUAUCAUACUACGCAUGCUUGUAUCAUAUUGCGCAUGUCCGCAUCAUACUGCGCAUGUCCGCAUCAUAUUGCGCAUGUUCGCAUCACUUCUGUGCCGCGCCAGUUUCUUCUUAGUUUCUUGUGCGUCUUGUGUUUAACAACGAUUAAAAGUUUGAAAAUUUACGUCAAAAGAAGAAUUUAUUUGAAAACAAAUAAGUUUCUGUGCGCAAAAAGGAGUGAAUAAGACUUUGUGGUGUUGUGAUCAAGAUGAGACUUUAAAUCUUCGCAACAAUCUGCAAUUUUCGCAACAAUCGAUACCACUUGACACCCACGUACACGAUUAUCACGACGAAAAGAAGGACGUUGAUCGAGAACAAAAUGGUCAUCCCGUAGAACCAGAGGGUGGACUGCAUGGUCCACGAGAGGUCGCGUAGGAUGCACACGGACUCGUCGAGGCUCGAUGAAAACUCGGCAUCCUCGUGGCAACUGGUGCACUCGGUAUUCGAAGGCCCUGAACAAGUUAGGCAGGUGUAAUGGCAGCUGGA
Long non-coding RNA from Apis florea (little honeybee), 547 nucleotides. Lineage: Eukaryota; Metazoa; Arthropoda; Insecta; Hymenoptera; Apidae. The record is from RefSeq and is a predicted model, not a curated record.